Molecule: transfer RNA, 69 nt
Filed under: Panulirus versicolor (painted spiny lobster)
Lineage: Eukaryota; Metazoa; Arthropoda; Malacostraca; Decapoda; Palinuridae
Description: tRNA-Gln
Source: RNAcentral
UUACGAAUAAUGGACUUACACCAAUUCCAAGAAUAUCAAAAAUUCUUAUGCUCUUUACACCAACUCAUA